GGAUGCGAACAUGAUCUGGCUGUGACCUCUGUCAUCUCAUCGAUUACCAGGGUUGAUUUGGUUGAUCUGGCUGGUGAGGUGGGUGUGCCCUUCCUCCCUCACCACUCCCACGUGCAUCCCUCUUCAUGUGCACGCUUGGUUGAAGGGGAUGACCUCCGCCAAAAGAGGAGCACCAUUCUUUGGUCAAGGGUAUAUGAGCCGUACUCCUCUGCUAGAGCCUCCAAACAAGCUCUCGGGGUCCAUUUGUAGCGUAGGGUGGUCAGGCUUCCAGGACUCCAGACAUGUCGAAUGCAGCACUGCAUGUGACAGUCUACCUUUGU
This is a non-coding RNA of Felis catus (domestic cat), 320 nucleotides long. It matches the Rfam family "7SK RNA". From Rfam's summary of the family: 7SK was discovered as an abundant small nuclear RNA in the mid-70s but a possible function has only recently been suggested. Two independent studies have found that 7SK RNA binds the CDK9/cyclin T complex (known as elongation factor P-TEFb). The record is from Rfam. Lineage: Eukaryota; Metazoa; Chordata; Mammalia; Carnivora; Felidae.